CUGGCUCAGGAUGAACGCUAGCGACAGGCUUAACACAUGCAAGUCGAGGGGCAGCAUAGAAGUAGCAAUACUCGGUGGCGACCGGCGCACGGGUGAGUAACGCGUAUGCAACCUACCUAUCAGAGGGGAAUAACCCGGCGAAAGUCGGACUAAUACCGCAUAAAACAGGGGCACCGCAUGGUGAUAUUUGUUAAAGAAAUUCGCUGAUAGAUGGGCAUGCGUUCCAUUAGGUAGUUGGUGAGGUAACGGCUCACCAAGCCGACGAUGGAUAGGGGAACUGAGAGGUUGGUCCCCCACACUGGUACUGAGACACGGACCAGACUCCUACGGGAGGCAGCAGUGAGGAAUAUUGGUCAAUGGGCGGGAGCCUGAACCAGCCAAGUCGCGUGAAGGAAGAAGGAUCUAUGGUUCGUAAACUUCUUUUGCAGGGGAAUAAAGUGCAGGACGUGUCCUGUUUUGUAUGUACCCUGAGAAUAAGGAUCGGCUAACUCCGUGCCAGCCGCCGC
RNAcentral lists this ribosomal RNA (506 nucleotides) under uncultured bacterium. Its description in RNAcentral is "bacterial SSU rRNA". It matches the Rfam family "Bacterial small subunit ribosomal RNA", at positions 19 to 518 of the family's 1533-position model. The record is from RNAcentral.